UGCCAGCAGCCGCGGUAAAACGUAGGAGGCGAGCGUUAUCCGGAUUUACUGGGCGUAAAGCGCGUGCAGGCGGUCCUGUAAGUCGUGCGUGAAAGCUCCCUGGCUUAACCGGGAGAGGUCGUGCGAUACUGCAGAACUAGAGACAGGUAGAGGCAAGCAGAAUUCCAGGUGUAGUGGUGAAAUGCGUAGAUAUCUGGAGGAAUACCAGUGGCGAAGGCGGCUUGCUAGACCUUGUCUGACGCUCAGACGCGAAAGCAUGGGGAGCGAACGGGAUUAGAUA
This 280-nucleotide ribosomal RNA is filed under the name uncultured bacterium. RNAcentral describes it as "partial 16S ribosomal RNA". It matches the Rfam family "Bacterial small subunit ribosomal RNA", at positions 506 to 784 of the family's 1533-position model. The record is from RNAcentral.